This is a long non-coding RNA of Carassius gibelio (silver crucian carp), 676 nucleotides long. RefSeq lists it as uncharacterized. Lineage: Eukaryota; Metazoa; Chordata; Actinopteri; Cypriniformes; Cyprinidae. The record is from RefSeq and is a predicted model, not a curated record. The transcript has 3 exons.
UAGUGCUAGUGUUUAACUUGUUUUUUUUUUAUUAUUAUUAAAGAUUACCUGCACCUAAAAACACUUCUCUGUCUGCUCUUUGUCACAUGCUUUACAAUUAGUAGAUAUUUAAGCUGCUCUCAUGAGCCUGCUGUCUGGAUACACCUUAAUAAAUCUGAUCAUCUUUUAGCAUGUUGGUGACAGCAUGUAAAUGGAAGGCUGGUCUGACACCAAGAGAUGAGAUGACAGUGCCCCAGCUCAUUGAGGUCGCAUCAUCAGGGAAUGGCUGUUGGAGCCUGGGGUACCUCAAAUGGAAUGGCCUGGAUUUUCUCCAGACCUGAAUCCCAUAGAAAACCUAUGGGAUCAGCUGAGUCGUCGUGAAGAGGGUCAUAUCCCUACACCCUAGAACCUCAAUGACCCGAGGACAACUCUUCAAGAACCGUGGAAUACCAUGCCUCAGCAGACAAUUAGUUGACUUCUAAACAGCAUGAGAUGAUGUUGUCAAGCUGUAAUUGACAAGUAAUUGAGACAUUUACCUUUUUUGAUGACACCACUGUUGUCAGCAUUUGUUUCAAUAAAUUGUUUUAGAUUAAUAAAUUAGCAUUAUAUGCUUCUACUUAAAUGCCCUACUUUCGUGAUAUACUGUAAUAUCACUGUAGCAUUAACUUUUUUUACGUUUUCCAUAAAUUGAACUGGA